UUUAUUAAAUCGAUUUGCUGAGAAUACGCACGCAUUAUUGAGCUAAAAACUUUCCAUGAACUUUCAAUAACAAUUCGUAAAAAGUUUCUAGUCAAUUGGAUACAUUAAUUAAACCUACAAUAUUAGAAUUAUAUACAAUAUUAGACUACCGAAGUUCUGAUUUGAAAUUAACCUUUCGUUUGUUUUCUUGUUUCCUUUCUCUUUUUUUUUUUCUUUUUUGUUAUUGCCCUAGUAGGCAGACGAGCACACAGCCCUGAAGGUAAGUAGUUAACGUCACCCAUGGACUUCACCAAUGCCAGGGGAAGAGCCUAGCCGCUGUCUACCGUAUCGACGUCUACAAAUCGACGAGCUGAUCGUGAUUAGGGUGAUUAGGGUAAUGCUAGUAGUACGCGAGUACUAGUAGGGGAGACCAGGGCAAGAUGAAGUUCGGGGCAGGACGGGAAAUAAGCUUUUGUUCAUGAAUGGUAAUCGUGUUCGGACCGGUAACGGUGCCAUUUGCACGAAAUUCAGACUGCGCAAAUGCGUCCGAGCAGAGCGAACGUAUUGGAUCUCGUUUUUGCGUUGUAUAGGAAAAAAACUGAUUUUGCAAGUGUUUUUAUCCGGUUUUUGGUUAAGAAACUGAUAUGCAGACAUAUACAGUGGUUCGGAACUAUAAACGAAAAACAGAUCGUGGCAAAUGGGACCCUGAAGUUCCGGGUCUUAUGGGUUCUUAAUAACAGGACGGGGCUUCCUCGAGCCUCUGCUACAUAUGAUGUUCCGCCGCCGUGUAAGAAAAGCUCGUGAUACUGUGGAUGACGACAUUGAUUCCGGUAACUACUAAGUAUGCAGGAAGCACGGUUAACCGGAAAAUAACUUCGUGUAAUAGCUUAUCAGUUGACUCAGCGAAAUCAUAUAGAUAGCCCACUUAAUGAAGAAACCGACAUGGCAGGAGAAGAUUGGCGUAAAAAACGAAUACACAAAGUUGGAAAUAAGAAGAUAAAAAUAACUGAAAACAAGCAUCAAGCUAAAAGACUCGCCCAAGAAAUCGAAUCGGAAUAUAGUUCAUCUUAAGAGGAGGACGGUGACUGGGCCUGCAUCUAUUGUGGUUACUAAUACUAAGAGUCAACCGAGGGUUGGGCUAUCUGCAGUAUUUGUCAUGGUUGGGCACACGAUUCCUGUGCCGAAGUAGAUGAAGAAGACGACGAGGCACACAUUUGUGAACGCUGUCUGCCCGAUUAAAAUACGUACUCCUUUUGCCCCGUAGCAUUUCCCAUCUUACCCCGUCCAUGGGGCAAGACGGGAAAUUCGCCACAUUAUCGUUAAUCAUUAUUUGUCAAAAAACUUCUGUGAUUUUGCUUGAUAAAAUUAUUAAUUUUAAGAAACAAAUGUAUAAGUGUUACUUAUUUUCUUAAAGAAUUUAAUUAAACAGUAUAAUUGUCUUUGUA
Molecule: long non-coding RNA, 1424 nt
Organism: Bombyx mori (domestic silkworm)
Lineage: Eukaryota; Metazoa; Arthropoda; Insecta; Lepidoptera; Bombycidae
Exons: 2
Source: RefSeq, a predicted model, not a curated record